RNAcentral lists this unclassified non-coding RNA (355 nucleotides) under Hevea brasiliensis (rubber tree). The record is from RNAcentral. Lineage: Eukaryota; Viridiplantae; Streptophyta; Magnoliopsida; Malpighiales; Euphorbiaceae.
GUUUCUCUUAUUCACCAGGGACAGGUAAACUUUGUGUUUUUUCCCUCACGCCCUCCUUUCUUAACAUGCAUAUUAACUUGGGAGUUGGGACAUCACAGGACAUCAAUUUAAUAAUUCUCGGUCACAGUAAUUCUCUUAUAGCAUUAAGUUUGUGGAAAAAUAAAUUAUAUCUACAGGCUCAAAUCAAUUAAGAAUUGUCGGUUCAAAUGUACAGCAUAAGUAAUCUUUAACUUUGCAUGUUCAUCUGUUUUUGUGUGUGGGUGUGUAAUCUCUCCAUUAAUUUCUUUGAGCCUUUUGAGGCUUGGUGUAUGACUUGUUAUUUUUGUGGUGGCAGUUCUCCACCAGUCUCCCUAAA